CCUACGGGAGGCAGCAGUGAGGAAUAUUGGUCAAUGGCCGAGAGGCUGAACCAGCCAAGUCGCGUGAGGGAUGACGGCCCUACGGGUUGUAAACCUCUUUUGUCAGGGAACAAAGAGCGGGACGUGUCCCCCCUUGAGAGUACCUGAAGAAAAAGCAUCGGCUAACUCCGUGCCAGCAGCCGCGGUAAUACGGAGGAUGCGAGCGUUAUCCGGAUUUAUUGGGUUUAAAGGGUGCGAAGGGGGACUGUUAAGUCAGCGGUAAAAGUGGGGGGCUCAACCCCGUCCCGCCGUUGAAACUGGGAGUCUUGAGUGGGCGAGAGGUACGCGGAAUGCGUGGUGUAGCGGUGAAAUGCAUAGAUAUCACGCAGAACUCCGAUUGCGAAGGCAGCAUGCCGGCUCCCCACUGACGCUGAGGCACGAAAGCGUGGGUAUCGAACAGGAUUAGAUACCCCAGUAGUC
RNAcentral lists this ribosomal RNA (459 nucleotides) under uncultured bacterium. RNAcentral describes it as "partial 16S ribosomal RNA". It matches the Rfam family "Bacterial small subunit ribosomal RNA", at positions 338 to 795 of the family's 1533-position model. The record is from RNAcentral.